ACAAAUUACACCCACCUCUCCGUCUCCAGUUAAGCUAGCCCCAGCCUCAAAAAAAUGAGACACUACCAAAAUCAAUGCAACUGGGACUGCAGCUGCAUUAACAAAAAAUUGACAAUUGAGGAAGCACAUCACUCCCUUACUCUAUCAAUAACAUGCCCCACAGUUCAAAAGUCAAGCUUGAUCAGUAAGCUUCUGCUACUAAAUACAAGUAAAAUUAAGCUGCAGGAUCAACAGAUUUAGCAUGCAAUAUUCUAUGAAACAAGCUCUAUUUAUUAUUGUGGAACAAUCUGCCAAACCCAAUAUCUGUGUAAAUUUUAUGCAAUAAUGGGAAAGAAUGUGUCGGUCUUACACUAACUUUUAUUAAAAGGUGUUGUUAUGAUUGAUACUGCUACAAUUGUAGUACCUAUAUGGUUUUAAUGAAGGUUCAUCAGCAUUCCAGAAA
Pistacia vera is the source of this 442-nucleotide long non-coding RNA. RefSeq lists it as uncharacterized. NCBI's taxonomy places the organism in Eukaryota, Viridiplantae, Streptophyta, Magnoliopsida, Sapindales, Anacardiaceae. The record is from RefSeq and is a predicted model, not a curated record. The transcript is spliced from 2 exons.